Molecule: unclassified non-coding RNA, 386 nt
Filed under: soil metagenome
Description: partial contains 5.8S ribosomal RNA, internal transcribed spacer 2, and large subunit ribosomal RNA
Rfam family: 5.8S ribosomal RNA (bases 4-119)
Source: RNAcentral
GAUAAGAACGUAGCGAAAUGCGAUAAGUAAUGUGAAUUGCAGAAUUCAGUGAAUCAUCGAAUCUUUGAACGCACCUUGCACCCUUUGGUAUUCCGAAGGGUAUGCUCGUUUGAGUGUCAUUGUACUCUCACACUUCUAAUUCCUUUCGGGAUUGGGAGCGGUGGACUUGGGUGUUGCUGCUUUAGUUGUGGCUCACCUCAAAUAAGUUAGUGCAACUCUUGGUUGGACAUAGUACGGCGUGAUAAGUGUCUUCGCCGGCGCCUCUGUAAGGAGGGUGGCCGAUCGGGAGCUCUGUGCUUCAAACCGUCUUCGGACAAUCUUUGACAACUUGACCUCAAAUCGAGUAGGACUACCCGCUGAACUUAAGCAUAUCAAUAAGCGGAGGA